This 434-nucleotide ribosomal RNA is filed under the name uncultured Lachnospiraceae bacterium. Its description in RNAcentral is "bacterial SSU rRNA". It matches the Rfam family "Bacterial small subunit ribosomal RNA", at positions 341 to 792 of the family's 1533-position model. The record is from RNAcentral. Lineage: Bacteria; Bacillati; Bacillota; Clostridia; Lachnospirales; Lachnospiraceae.
ACGGAAGGCAGCAGUGGGGAAUAUUGGACAAUGGGGGAAACCCUGAUCCAGCGACGCCGCGUGAGUGAAGAAGUAUUUCGGUAUGUAAAGCUCUAUCAGCAGGGAAGAUAAUGACGGUACCUGACUAAGAAGCCCCGGCUAACUACGUGCCAGCAGCCGCGGUAAUACGUAGGGGGCAAGCGUUAUCCGGAUUUACUGGGUGUAAAGGGAGCGUAGGCGGCCAGACAAGUCAGGUGUGAAAACCCGGGGCUUAACCCCGGGACUGCACUUGAAACUGCCUGGCUGGAGUGCAGGAGAGGCAAGUGGAAUUCCUAGUGUAGCGGUGAAAUGCGUAGAUAUUAGGAAGAACACCGGUGGCGAAGGCGACUUGCUGGACUGAGACUGACGCUGAGGCUCGAAAGCGUGGGGAGCAAACAGGAUUAGAUACCCUGGUA